GAAAUGCGAUAAGUAAGGUGAAUUGCAGAAUUCAGUGAAUCAUCGAAUCUUUGAACGCACCUUGCGCUCCUUGGUAUUCCUUGGAGCAUGCCUGUUUGAGUAUCAUGAAAUCUUCAAAGUAAAUCUUUUGUUAACUCAAUUGGUUUCUACUUUGGUAUUGGAGGUCUUUGCAGCUUCACACCUGCUCCUCUAUGUUCAUUAGCUGGAUCUCAGUGUUAUGCUUGGUUCCACUCGGCGUGAUAAGUUAUCUAUCGCUGAGGACACUGUAAAAGGUGGCCAAGGUAAAUGCAGAUGAACCGCUUCUAAUAGUCCAUUGACUUGGACAAUACUUUUAUGAUCUGAUCUCAAAUCAGGUAGGACUACCCGCUGAACUUAAGC
Molecule: unclassified non-coding RNA, 378 nt
Filed under: plant metagenome
Description: partial contains 5.8S ribosomal RNA, internal transcribed spacer 2, and large subunit ribosomal RNA
Rfam family: 5.8S ribosomal RNA (bases 1-105)
Source: RNAcentral